This 187-nucleotide ribosomal RNA is filed under the name uncultured bacterium. Its description in RNAcentral is "partial 16S ribosomal RNA". It matches the Rfam family "Bacterial small subunit ribosomal RNA", at positions 340 to 524 of the family's 1533-position model. The record is from RNAcentral.
UACGGGAGGCAGCAGUGAGGAAUAUUGGUCAAUGGGCGAGAGCCUGAACCAGCCAAGUAGCGUGCAGGAUGACGGCCCUAUGGGUUGUAAACUGCUUUUAUAUGGGAAUAAAGUGAGGGACGUGUCCCUUAUUGCAUGUACCAUACGAAUAAGGACCGGCUAAUUCCGUGCCAGCAGCCGCGGUAAU